GAAAUCUUGAGAACCACUGACUUAUGUGGUCAGAAGUGAUCGACUCCCUGGGCUGGGAAGCUCCAAUUUUCUCCUCCAGAUUUCCUGUGUCGCCCUCUCCUCCCUGUCCUCUGCCCCAUUAGGGAGGAUGCAUGGAUUCCUUCAGCAAGCUCUUUGUCCUUCGGUUUCCAGUGAAAAGGCUGGCAUAGAAGCUGUCUGAAUCUAUGAAAUCAAAAAAGGAUCAAAGUAGAGACACAAAUUCCUCUGAACUUGAAAUUGAAAUGAGUGUGUUGCCAGCAUCUAUUCAUCCGCCUAAAACCAAGUAAAUCAUUUCAGAAGAAGUUUUCAGCAGUCUAUCAAAGUGACAAGAGUGGUGAGGUAGUAAAGUAGAAACGCAUUGACAACUUUAUUCCUAUUGACUGGAUAAAUAAUCUUCAUGACUCAAAGUGAUGAAACGCAUCAGAAAUAGAAGCAAAAUGUUCACGUUUCAGUCCGUGAGUAGGGCUUGAAUCCCACAGGAGGAAUUAAGAAAAAGAAGCGAACACUCGGAGGAUAACAUCGCAAUAUUACUUAGCCAUUAUUCUUUACAGUGUUAGGCCCCUUCCAGAGAUGUUUGACUGAUUUGUUGCUUGUCCACGUAGAUGCGUGAAUACACUAAAUAGUCAUCAAAUAUGGGUCAAGUAGUGUGCUGGUUGUUUUACGUAUGUUCUCCUUUAAUUUACCCAACAAUAUUGUGACAUAUCAUCAUUAUUUUAAGAAUGAGAAAGCUUAAAGUUAAUAGAGAUUAAAAAAUAAUUUUCCAACUCUCUAUAAUGAGCAGGUAGUAAGAUCAGAAUUCAUAUCUUCAUCUGUCAAAACCAAAGCCCAUAUUCUAAAUCACUUACAGUGAGUAAAAGGGGCUUCUUAAAACUUUAUAUGUAAGAAUGUAAUCUUAAAUGAGAAAACAAACUAGCUUUUAAACUAUGUGCUGUGACUUUUCUGACACAAUGUGUUUAUAAUUUUUUUCCACUUGACAAAAAAAGAACCACAUAUUAGACUAAUUGUGCUUAGGGUACAGAAUAUGAGCAUGUUUUGACUUAAAAUGUAAAAUAAAUAAUGAACUAAUAGUAGACACCCCAACCUGAUCAUAGAAAACUUUUGUUUUUAAUUUCUCUUGGUAGUCAGUCUUUGUGAAUGUGGAUUUAAGCCACCAAAUCCUUUACUAUGUAUUACUAAAACAUAAGGCAAGGAGAAAGCAUUCCCAUUUCUGAUGUAGCAGCCUCGGAUAAAAGAGGCUAGUGAGAGGCCUUAAUGUGAGUGUUCCAUAAUCUUUUGUGCCAUGAAUCCCUCUGUAGUCUGAAGAAGCUUUGGAACUCUUCUCAGAAUGAUGUUUUUAAAUGAAUAAAAUAAUAUACAUAGAAUUCCCAAGGAAACCAAUUGUAUUGAAAUGUAGUCAUCAAGAGUUUAUUUUAAUGUAAUACAGUAAUAUAUGACCUUCUCUAUUAAUGUGUUAAGUAACAACAUCUGUGGUAGGUAUAAUAACUGUUUGCAUUUGAAGUAGGGGUGAAUGCAAAAUGUAUUGCAAGAUCUGCAAUAAGUGUAAUGAGAUAUGAAAAAAAUAUGUGAUUUCUCUUGGUGAGAAAGUUGCAUGUACUGCUAGUAACCAUGUGACAUGGUACCUACCUUCAUAUUUGGAGGUAAUGAGAAUUUUGUUCUUAGAGUUCAAUAAAAAUGAAUAUGUACUUUUUUCCUGCCCAAGUUCACCCAGGGGUUUAAAGGAUUUUGUAUUAGAACGUCUUUUCUAAAGAAUAAGAGCUGGAGGUAACAGGGAGAAGGACCGUAGAAAUUUGAGACCUGGUCAGAGACUGGGGCUACUGUGACACAUAUUUUGCUUGUGCAAUUGCUUUUGAAAGUUACUGUAUUUUGGGGGAAAAG
This 1893-nucleotide long non-coding RNA is filed under the name Homo sapiens (human). RNAcentral's name for it is "non-protein coding lnc-GAPT-9:3". Lineage: Eukaryota; Metazoa; Chordata; Mammalia; Primates; Hominidae. The record is from RNAcentral.